This 546-nucleotide small RNA is filed under the name Pan troglodytes (chimpanzee). Its description in RNAcentral is "processed transcript". The record is from RNAcentral. Lineage: Eukaryota; Metazoa; Chordata; Mammalia; Primates; Hominidae.
GAGCUCGAGGAGGUGGCGCGAUGGAGGGACUGGAAGAAAAAACAUGGACCCAUUUGCCAGAAGACUGCAACUAAAAAACGGAAGACUUUUGAUUCAAGCAGACAGAGAGCUGAAGGAACUGAUAUUCCAACAGUAAAACCUCUCAAACCGAGGCCAGAACCACCAAAGAAACCAUCUAAUUGGAGAAGGAAACAUGAAGAAUUCAUUGCUACCAUAAGAGCAGCUAAAGGCCUUGAUCAGGCCCUCAAAGAGGGUGGCAAACUUCCUCCUCCUCCUCCACCUUCUUAUGAUCCUGAUUAUAUUCAAUGUCCAUAUUGUCAGAGGAGAUUCAAUGAAAAUGCAGCUGAUAGACAUAUAAAUUUCUGUAAAGAACAGGCAGCACGUAUUAGUAAUAAAGGGAAAUUUUCUACAGAUACCAAAGGAAAACCAACUUCUCGGACACAGGUGUAUAAGCCACCCGCACUUAAAAAGUCAAAUUCUCCUGGAACUGCAUCAUCAGGAUCUUCACGAUUACCGCAGCCAAGUGGCGCUGGCAAAACUGUUGUA